RNAcentral lists this transfer RNA (88 nucleotides) under Corynebacterium amycolatum. Its description in RNAcentral is "tRNA-His". Lineage: Bacteria; Bacillati; Actinomycetota; Actinomycetes; Mycobacteriales; Corynebacteriaceae. The record is from RNAcentral.
GUAGUUGACCUGGAGAAACUGCAACUAGUGAGAUAGAGCGUCUAGUAACACCCUUUCAGUGUGGGUUCGAGUCCCACUGGGGGCACCA